ACUUCCUGGACUCUGCUGGGAUGGGUUCAAAGUAGAGAAAGUGGAAGAGGAAAGAGUUACCCCAGCGAGAACCGGGAACCGGGCUGCAGACUCUCCGGCCCGGGGGAGGGAUGAGUUUCACUCUGGUUGCCCAGGCUGGAGUGCAAUGGCGCGAUCUCGGCUCACCGCAACCUCUGCCUCCCGGAUUCAAGCGAUUCUCCUGCUUCAGCCUCCCGAGUAGCUGGGAUUACAGACCUGGGAAAGCUUCCUCCAGCCCUGAUGCUGGCCUGCAGUAUGGCACUUGACAGCUACUGGUAUUGUGGAUAGAAGCAAAGGCUCUGGACUCAGCAACACUUGGUUUGAAUUCCAGUUCUACCACUUACUAGCUGUGGUGCUGCUGACAACUUAAACUCCAUGAACCUCAGUUUUCUUCAUCUGUAAGGUGGGAUAACAGUACUUCUCUAAUAGGGAUAUUGUGAGGAUCAAAUAUGAUGAUCUAAAGCAGUUAGCACAAUAUCUUGCACAUAGUAAGUGCUUAAUAAGUGGCAGUUAUUAUUUCAUACAUUAUAAGGUGAUACCCCUGAACUU
RNAcentral lists this long non-coding RNA (567 nucleotides) under Homo sapiens (human). RNAcentral describes it as "non-protein coding SAP30L-AS1:1". The record is from RNAcentral. Lineage: Eukaryota; Metazoa; Chordata; Mammalia; Primates; Hominidae.